This 399-nucleotide ribosomal RNA is filed under the name uncultured bacterium. Its description in RNAcentral is "bacterial SSU rRNA". It matches the Rfam family "Bacterial small subunit ribosomal RNA", at positions 122 to 507 of the family's 1533-position model. The record is from RNAcentral.
AAACCUACCUCUUAGCAGGGAUAACAUUUGGAAACAAUGCUAAUACCGUAUAAUAAUUAAAACCGCAUGGUUUAGUUUAAAAGAUUGGUCUUGCUAUCACUAAGAGAUGGUCCCGCGGUGUAUUAGUUAGUUGGUGAGGUAAUGGCUCACCAAGACAAUGAUACAUAGCCGAGUUGAGAGACUGACCGGCCACAAUGGGACUGAGACACGGCCCAUACUCCUACGGGAGGCAGCAGUUAGGGAAUCUUCCACAAUGGACGAAAGUCUGAUGGAGCAACGCCGCGUGUGUGAUGAAGGGUUUCGGCUCGUAAAACACUGUUGUUAAGAAGAAGAAUGACAUUGAGAGUAACUGUUCAAUGUGUGACGGUAUCUUACCAGAAAGGAACGGCUAAAUACGUG